This 723-nucleotide ribosomal RNA is filed under the name uncultured archaeon. RNAcentral's name for it is "bacterial SSU rRNA". It matches the Rfam family "Archaeal small subunit ribosomal RNA", at positions 136 to 859 of the family's 1478-position model. The record is from RNAcentral.
GAAACUGGGGAUAAUACCGGAUAGGCAAUUUUUCCUGGAAUGGUUUUUUGUUUAAAUGUUUUUUCGCCUAAGGAUGGGUCUGCGGCCGAUUAGGUAGUUGGUUAGGUAACGGCUUACCAAGCCAUUGAUCGGUACGGGUUGUGAGAGCAAGAGCCCGGAGAUGGAACCUGAGACAAGGUUCCAGGCCCUACGGGGUGCAGCAGGCGCGAAACCUCCGCAAUGUGAGAAAUCGCGACGGGGGGAUCCCAAGUGCCAUUCUUAACGGGAUGGCUUUUCAUUAGUGUAAAGAGCUUUUGGAAUAAGGGCUGGGCAAGACCGGUGCCAGCCGCCGCGGUAACACCGGCAGCUCUAGUGGUAGCAGUUUUUAUUGGGCCUAAAGCGUCCGUAGCCGGUUUAAUAAGUCUCUGGUGAAAUCCUGUAGCUUAACUGCGGGAAUUGCUGGAGAUACUAUUAGACUUGAGACCGGGAGAGGUUAGAGGUACUCCCAGGGUAGAGGUGAAAUUCUGUAAUCCUGGGAGGACCGCCUGUUGCGAAGGCGUCUAACUGGAACGGUUCUGACGGUGAGGGACGAAAGUUAGGGGCGCGAACCGGAUUAGAUACCCGGGUAGUCCUAACUGUAAACGAUGCGGACUUGGUGUUGGGGUGGCUUUGAGCUGCUCCAGUGCCGAAGGGAAGCUGUUAAGUCCGCCGCCUGGGAAGUACGGUCGCAAGACUGAAACUUAA